RNAcentral lists this long non-coding RNA (398 nucleotides) under Olea europaea subsp. europaea. The record is from RNAcentral. Lineage: Eukaryota; Viridiplantae; Streptophyta; Magnoliopsida; Lamiales; Oleaceae.
AUUGGGACCUCUAUCACUUCCGAAUUCACUAUCCAAAUUUCUUUGGAAUACAAGACUGGAUUAACAUAUAUGAAAUGGCAUAUACCUGCAUUAUAUGAUGUAAUUUUGUUGUCCUGAUAAACAGAAGCUGCUGUGUUUGAGCUUGAUGCCAGAUGAGUGGACAAUAUCGACAUCAAUUGUAGAUAUUGAGUAGGAUUCAAACUCUGAAUUAAACUUCCAAUCCCAGGUUGUUGUGAAUUAUGCAUUUUAUCUUCAUUCGGUGCAGAUCUGGAGGAGAUCUGGAAAUUACUCAUUGAAUGAAGUAAGGAGUAAGGACUUGAAGGUUCAUCAAUGGCCGAUUUGUUCAUUGAUGACCUUGAAUCAAACCAAUUUCCGGAUUGUAAUAACUCUAUGUAGAG